CAGCCGCCACGGGAAUACGUAGGUGGCAAGCGUUGCCCGGAAUUAUUGGGCGUAAAGGGCUCGCAGGCGGUUUCUUAAGUCUGAUGUGAAAGCCCCCGGCUCAACCGGGGAGGGUCAUUGGAAACUGGGAAACUUGAGUGCAGAAGAGGAGAGUGGAAUUCCACGUGUAGCGGUGAAAUGCGUAGAGAUGUGGAGGAACACCAGUGGCGAAGGCGACUCUCUGGUCUGUAACUGACGCUGAGGAGCGAAAGCGUGGGGAGCGAACAGGAUUAGAUACCCCUGUAGUCCCUGUCUAUUAUAC
This 301-nucleotide ribosomal RNA is filed under the name uncultured bacterium. RNAcentral describes it as "partial 16S ribosomal RNA". It matches the Rfam family "Bacterial small subunit ribosomal RNA", at positions 509 to 807 of the family's 1533-position model. The record is from RNAcentral.